AUGUACGGAUACCUCAACUACCUGUCCCUUGAGUAUGACUCGUCUCGGACACCAAUCCUGCUUGAAUAUGAGCUUCUUCACGGCAAUUUCAAAGUUACAUGUACCAUAGGUAUUUUCAAGGUCCAUGCUUCAAAUAUAAAUAAGAUUUUGUCCUUCUAUCUGAAACUUGAUCUUCUGCUUAUGUUUGCAUUUGCUAUCGAUGAUGUGAAUUUGAGCAAAUACCCCACAACGUUUUCACUGAGUUUGGAUAGCAUAUACAAGCUCCAGAAAAAGGUACUAGAAUGCAUUGAAAAGCUCCCACAAGCAGGAAUUAAGUUCUGUGUGCUGACUGUGACAAAAUGGAUAGCUAUCAAUAUUGGAAGAUGCAGCUUGCGGAUCCCACGGCAGGACUCGGAUGAUGACGAUGAACCUGACUACCUAUUGCAAUCUGAACACCUAAAGAAGUUCUUGUUCUACGGUGACAACGUCAGGCGCAAGGCGGUGGUGGAGACAUGCGCGGACGAGCACGUGCAGAAGCGAAUGGUGCUCCACGGCUGCUGCUGUGUCAUCGGGUAA
This 555-nucleotide ribosomal RNA is filed under the name Triticum aestivum (bread wheat). RNAcentral's name for it is "partial small subunit ribosomal RNA". The record is from RNAcentral. Lineage: Eukaryota; Viridiplantae; Streptophyta; Magnoliopsida; Poales; Poaceae.